CCUACGGGAGGCAGCAGUAAGGAAUAUUGGACAAUGGUGGCAACACUGAUCCAGCCAUGCCGCGUGCAGGAUGACGGUUCUAUGAAUUGUAAGCUGCUUUUAUACGGGAAAAACCCUCAAGACGUGAUUUUGAGCUGAUUGUACCGUAAGAAUAAGGAUCGGCUAACUUCGUGCCAGCAGCCGCGGUAAGACGAAGGAUCCAAGCGUUAUCCGGAUUUAUUGGGUUUAAAGGGUGCGUAGGCGGACUCAUAAGUCAGUGGUGAAAUCCCAAAGCUUAACUUGGAACUGCCAUUGAUACUGUAAGUCUUGAGUAUGUUUGAAGUGGGCGGAAUGUAUUGUGUAGCGGUGAAAUGCUUAGAUAUAAUACAGAACACCAAUUGCGAAGGCAGCUCACUAAACCAUAACUGACGCUGAGGCACGAAAGCAUGGGGAGCAAACAGGAUUAGAUACCCUGGUAGUCCAUGCCCUAAACGAUGAAUACUCGAUAUGUGCGAUAUACAGUACGUGCUAAGCGAAAGCAUUAAGAUUCCACCUGGGGAGUACGCUCGCAAAGAGAGAACGACAAUAGAGUAGACGGACGNGAGAGNGCGACGGACGACGACGAGGGGAGUAGG
This 614-nucleotide ribosomal RNA is filed under the name uncultured bacterium. Its description in RNAcentral is "bacterial SSU rRNA". It matches the Rfam family "Bacterial small subunit ribosomal RNA", at positions 338 to 959 of the family's 1533-position model. The record is from RNAcentral.